CUUUGNGGUUUAAUUUGCGCAGUAUANGGUGGGAGGUUAAGAAGAUAUANCUUGAGGGUAUAUAANGAGCCAUCAGUGAGAUACCACUCUUAUUAAACUAAAANUUCUAACCUUGACAGUCGUUAACCGGCCAAGGAACAGUUUCAGAUGGGCAGUUUGACUGGGGCGGUCGCCUCCUAAAAAGUAACGGAGGCGUACAAAGGUUUCUUCAGGCUGGUCGGAAAUCAGUCGUAGAGUAUAAAGGCAUAAAGAAGCUUGACUGCAAGACNCUACAAGUCGAGCAGAGACGAAAGUCGGUCUUAGUGAUCCGACAGUACUGAGUGGAAAGGC
Molecule: ribosomal RNA, 330 nt
Filed under: Plocamium brasiliense
Lineage: Eukaryota; Rhodophyta; Florideophyceae; Plocamiales; Plocamiaceae
Description: bacterial LSU rRNA
Rfam family: Bacterial large subunit ribosomal RNA
Source: RNAcentral